UUUCCAUUAUAGCAACAUUGCAACCGAUUCUUCUCCGAUCUUCUACCAGUCUAGUCGUCGACCUCUCUCGACGAUCGUUGUCUCCGUCUUCUGCUCCGCUUUGUUCUGGUUCAGUACUCUUUUACUUCCUUUCUUUUGAAUAGUUUGAUGUGUAUUUUCUUGUACUCUGUCUCAACUCUUGGCACUUCUAAGUACGUGUUCUUGGUUUCUGUCUUGAUUCAUUACAUUUUUCUUAUCUUCUUCUUCUUCUCUGUCUCAACUCCCAUUAUUUUCAUUCAAUUAAUAGUUGUGAAUUCCUAGUUGUGCAAUUCAAUUUAAAUCAAUC
Molecule: long non-coding RNA, 325 nt
Filed under: Zostera marina
Lineage: Eukaryota; Viridiplantae; Streptophyta; Magnoliopsida; Alismatales; Zosteraceae
Description: long non-coding RNA (ZMAR_LNC001317)
Source: RNAcentral